UACGUAGGGUGCAAGCGUUGUCCGGAAUUAUUGGGCGUAAAGAGCUCGUAGGCGGUUUGUCGCGUCGAAUGUGAAAACCCGGGGCUCAACCCCGGGCCUGCAUUCGAUACGGGCAGACUAGAGUUCGGUAGGGGAGUCUGGAAUUCCUGGUGUAGCGGUGAAAUGCGCAGAUAUCAGGAGGAACACCCGUGGCGAAAGCGGCUCUCUGGGACGGUACUGACGCUGAGACGCGAAAGCGUGGGGAGCAAACAGG
Molecule: ribosomal RNA, 253 nt
Filed under: uncultured bacterium
Lineage: Bacteria
Description: partial 16S ribosomal RNA
Rfam family: Bacterial small subunit ribosomal RNA
Source: RNAcentral